GCCAGGACAACUGACAAGUUGUUCAAAAAGGUGACACACAGUGACACACCAAAAAUGUAUGAUGUGUAGGUAGGUGUCUUUAUUCAAGGCCAGAACUUACUGAAUGGCAAUAGGAUCACAAGCGUUCAGAAGGGUCAAUCCAUGCCUGCAACACAGUGCUCAGUCAUAGCUGGGUAUCGAAUUCUUCGAGGGCAAGUUCUAAGACCACCAGGACAGGAACAGAAUGAGAUCAAGUCCUUCUCCCCUUUGUAACAAAGGUAACGUUUCCUCCAGCCUCAGCAGCGUUCCUCCACGCUGCAGCCUCCCGGAGUAUUUGCUGACCGUGCUUUCCCAGAUCAUGGCCGCGCCACGCUCUGUCUCCUUUCUUCCUGAGUCCUCACUGGAAUCACCAUUAAAGUGACAAGAACUCAUGGCUUAACCAUCACUUAGUUUGUCUCUGAAACCUGGACUUCCUGGGUACUUCCUCUGGACCCCGCUGUGUCGGUUUAUCAAGAGACUUCACUCCAUAGCUGACCAGGUUCCUCAUCUGAUUGAAUUGGGGAGGAUUGAGACCAAACCCCCAUUUCACUCCCCCACCCCCACCCCCUGCUCCCACACAAUCCCACUCGGGUGGGCCCUGUGCUUGCUGGGAGUCUGCCUUGCU
Long non-coding RNA from Meriones unguiculatus (Mongolian gerbil), 643 nucleotides. RefSeq lists it as uncharacterized. The record is from RefSeq and is a predicted model, not a curated record. Lineage: Eukaryota; Metazoa; Chordata; Mammalia; Rodentia; Muridae. The transcript is spliced from 3 exons.